GCCGGGCGUGGUGGCGUGUGCCUGUAGUCCCAGCUACUCAGGAGGCUGAGGCUGGAGGAUUGCUUGAGCCCAGGAGUUCUGGGCUGUAGUGCGCUAUGCCGAUCGGGUGUCCACACUAAGUUCAGCAUCAAUAUGGUGACCUCCUGGGAGCAGGGGACCAUCAGGUUGCCUAAGGAGGGGUGAACCGGCCCAGGUCGGAAACGAAGCAGGUCAAAACUCCCGUGCUGAUCAGUAGUGGGAUCGCACCUGUGAAUAGCCACUGCACUCCAGCCUGGGCAGCAUAGUGAGACCCCAUCUCU
RNAcentral lists this signal recognition particle RNA (299 nucleotides) under Cebus imitator (Panamanian white-faced capuchin). RNAcentral describes it as "Metazoan signal recognition particle RNA (ENSCCAG00000009896.1)". It matches the Rfam family "Metazoan signal recognition particle RNA". From Rfam's summary of the family: The signal recognition particle (SRP) is a universally conserved ribonucleoprotein. It is involved in the co-translational targeting of proteins to membranes. The record is from RNAcentral. Lineage: Eukaryota; Metazoa; Chordata; Mammalia; Primates; Cebidae.